Long non-coding RNA from Herpailurus yagouaroundi (jaguarundi), 770 nucleotides. RefSeq lists it as uncharacterized. The transcript has 3 exons. Lineage: Eukaryota; Metazoa; Chordata; Mammalia; Carnivora; Felidae. The record is from RefSeq and is a predicted model, not a curated record.
UUGGUCUUGGGCGUAGGAUGGGCCGAGUGCACCUGGCUGGACUUGGACCCUCCCUGGGCUGGCGCCCUUCCCCCUCCUCUCCCCGCGGGGCUUGGAAGGGCUUGGCCUGCCGGGAGAGCAAAGCCGACAGUCUCCUGUGCUGUCUCAGGACCUCGCCCCUCUCGAGUCCCGGCCCUGGGCAAGCCUUGGGCAAGCCUGCCCAGCACCUGUCUCGGCUCCUCACCAGGUGCGCCUUCUUUCCUGCCCACUGAGGAAUCCAUGUGCCAGUCUGCGGGUCCGAAUACCCAGGUGACCAAGACUGUCUGAAGAGCUACUAGGCUGUCCUCAGAAGACACAAUGUCUCACUGCAGCAUCACACAGCACGAGCGGUCACAGGCACCGCAGUGACCUCCGAUGGCCCAGGAGUGACCCCAGUUCCUGCCAGCCCUGGGAGGAAAAAAGCAGCUCGUCUCAUGCCCCCGCCCUUGACACACGAGACAAUCCACGUCUGCUGGCAUAUUAUCAUACGUUAGCAGACCUCUGAGAGCCAAACUGCAGACCACAGCAGCUGGGCCGGGGCCUGGAGCGGGCCUGGGAUCCUCCCCCUGGAUGGGACCAGCCUGCCUCGAAUUCCCCACACACUGUGUUCCAGGCACUUCCCCCUUCAUUAGCACUGUGUGUGCCAUUCACCACCCUCUCCAUCGCUGUCACCGCGGUCCUUCCCGUGAGAAGUGCACCCAGGGGCCUGCCUUUAUAAAUAAGUCCAUGGUGUUUGUUGGAGGAUGACGGGA